This is a small nuclear RNA of Prolemur simus (greater bamboo lemur), 107 nucleotides long. NCBI's taxonomy places the organism in Eukaryota, Metazoa, Chordata, Mammalia, Primates, Lemuridae. The record is from Ensembl.
GUACUUGCUUCAGCAGCACACAUACUAAAACUGGCAUAAUACAGAGAAGAUCAGCAUGGCUCCAGCACAAGGAUGACAUAUAAAUUUGUGGGAUGUUCCAUAUUUUA